GCCCGGUUGGCUCAGUCGGUAGAGCGUGUGACUCUUAAGUUCUUGGUAACAGGUUCAUGAGGGAUCUCAAGGUCGCGAGUUCGAGCCUCGCAUUGGGCU
Molecule: transfer RNA, 99 nt
Filed under: Terfezia boudieri ATCC MYA-4762
Lineage: Eukaryota; Fungi; Ascomycota; Pezizomycetes; Pezizales; Pezizaceae
Rfam family: tRNA
About the family: Transfer RNA (tRNA) molecules are approximately 80 nucleotides in length. Their secondary structure includes four short double-helical elements and three loops (D, anti-codon, and T loops). Further hydrogen bonds mediate the characteristic L-shaped molecular structure. tRNAs have two regions of fundamental functional importance: the anti-codon, which is responsible for specific mRNA codon recognition, and the 3' end, to which the tRNAs corresponding amino acid is attached (by aminoacyl-tRNA synthetases). tRNAs cope with the degeneracy of the genetic code in two manners: having more than one tRNA (with a specific anti-codon) for a particular amino acid; and 'wobble' base-pairing, i.e. permitting non-standard base-pairing at the 3rd anti-codon position.
Source: Rfam by way of RNAcentral